AGGGAGUUUGAUCCUGGCUCAGGAUGAACGCUGGCGGCGUGCUUAACACAUGCAAGUCGAACGGAACACCGUUUUUCGGAAUGGUGUUUAGUGGCGGACGGGUGAGUAACGCGUGGGUAACCUGCCUCAGACUGGGGGAUAACGGUUGGAAACGACCGCUAAUACCGCAUAAGCCCACAGUACCGCAUGGUACAGAGGGAAAAGAUUUUAUCGGUUUGAGAUGGACCCGCGUCUGAUUAGCCAGUUGGUGGGGUAACGGCCUACCAAAGCUACGAUCAGUAGCCGACCUGAGAGGGUGAUCGGCCACAUUGGGACUGAGACACGGCCCAAACUCCUACGGGAGGCAGCAGUGGGGAAUAUUGCGCAAUGGGGGAAACCCUGACGCAGCAACGCCGCGUGAGUGAAGAAGUAUUUCGGUAUGUAAAGCUCUAUCAGCAGGGACGAAAAUGACGGUACCUGCAGAAGAAGUCCCGGCUAACUACGUGCCAGCAGCCGCGGUAAUACGUAGGGGACAAGCGUUAUCCGGAUUUACUGGGUGUAAAGGGAGCGUAGGCGGCAAAGCAAGUCAGAAGUGAAAGCCCGCGGCUCAACUGCGGGACUGCUUUUGAAACUGUUUAGCUAGAGUACUGGAGGGGCAAGCGGAAUUCCUGGUGUAGCGGUGAAAUGCGUAGAUAUCAGGAAGAACACCGGAGGCGAAGGCGGCUUGCUGGACAGAUACUGACGCUGAGGCUCGAAGGCGUGGGGAGCAAACAGGAUUAGAUACCCUGGUAGUCCCCU
Molecule: ribosomal RNA, 777 nt
Filed under: uncultured Bacillota bacterium
Lineage: Bacteria; Bacillati; Bacillota
Description: bacterial SSU rRNA
Rfam family: Bacterial small subunit ribosomal RNA
Source: RNAcentral